UGGGGGAUAUUGCACAAUGGGGGAAACCCUGAUGCAGCGACGCCGCGUGGAGGAAGAAGGUUUUCGGAUUGUAAACUCCUGUCGUUAGGGACGAUAAUGACGGUACCUAACAAGAAAGCACCGGCUAACUACGUGCCAGCAGCCGCGGUAAAACGUAGGGUGCAAGCGUUGUCCGGAAUUACUGGGUGUAAAGGGAGCGCAGGCGGGAAGACAAGUUGGAAGUGAAAACCAUGGGCUCAACCCAUGAAUUGCUUUCAAAACUGUUUUUCUUGAGUAGUGCAGAGGUAGAUGGAAUUCCCGGUGUAGCGGUGGAAUGCGUAGAUAUCGGGAGGAACACCAGUGGCGAAGGCGGUCUACUGGGCACCAACUGACGCUGAGGCUCGAAAGCAUGGGUAGCAAACAGGAUUAGAUACCCUGGUAGUCCAUGCCGUAAACGAUGAUUACUAGGUGUUGGGGGAUUGACCCCCUCAGUGCCGCAGUUAACACAAUAAGUAAUCCACCUGGGGAGUACGACCGCAAGGUUGAAACUCAAAGGAAUUGACGGGGGCCCGCACAAGCAGUGGAGUAUGUGGUUUAAUUCGAAGCAACGCGAAGAACCUUACCAGGUCUUGACAUCCGAUGCAUAGCACAGAGAUGUGUGAAAUCCUUCGGGACAUCGAGACAGGUGGUGCAUGAUUGUCGUCAGCUCGUGUCGUGAGAUGUUGGGUUAAGUCCCGCAACGAGCGCAACCCUUAUUGCCAGUUACUACGUUAAGAGGACUCUGGCGAGACUGCCGUUGACAAAACGGAGGAAGGUGGGGAUGACGUCAAAUCAUCAUGCCCUUUAUGACCUGGGCUACACACGUACUACAAUGGCGUUAAACAAAGAGAAGCAAGACCGCGAGGUGGAGCAAAACUCAAAAACAACGUCUCAGUUCAGAUUGCAGGCUGCAACUCGCCUGCAUGAAGUCGGAAUUGCUAGUAAUCGCGGAUCAGCAUGCCGCGGUGAAUACGUUCCC
This 997-nucleotide ribosomal RNA is filed under the name uncultured organism. Its description in RNAcentral is "bacterial SSU rRNA". It matches the Rfam family "Bacterial small subunit ribosomal RNA", at positions 355 to 1375 of the family's 1533-position model. The record is from RNAcentral.